This 330-nucleotide ribosomal RNA is filed under the name Camponotus heteroclitus. RNAcentral describes it as "partial 12S ribosomal RNA". Lineage: Eukaryota; Metazoa; Arthropoda; Insecta; Hymenoptera; Formicidae. The record is from RNAcentral.
UUAUUUUUAUUAAAUUAAAAUUAAUUAGUUAUUAAAUGUAUAAUCAUUAAAAAUAAAAAAUUUGGCGGUAUUUAAUGUUUAGAGGAACUUGUUUGUUAAAUUGAUAAUCCACGAAUGGAAAUACUUAAUUUGAUAAUUUUAUGUAUUGUUGUUGAAAAAUUGUAUUAAAAGAUAAAAAUUAAAAAAUUUAAUUUAAUUAUAAUUCAAAUCAAAAUGUAGAAUAAUUAAGAAUUUAAAUGAGUUACAGUUAAAUAAAUAAUUGAAUUUUAUAAUUUAAUUUAUAAAUGAAAGUGGAUUUAAAAGUAAAUUUAUAAAAAUUUAUAAAUGAAA